AGCUUUGCACAGUGGCAGUAUCAUAGCCAAUGAGGUUUAUCCAAGAUGUGAUUAUUGCCAAUUGAAAAAUUAAAUAUUU
Molecule: small nuclear RNA, 79 nt
Filed under: Vicugna pacos (alpaca)
Lineage: Eukaryota; Metazoa; Chordata; Mammalia; Artiodactyla; Camelidae
Description: U4 spliceosomal RNA (ENSVPAG00000017341.1)
Rfam family: U4 spliceosomal RNA
About the family: U4 small nuclear RNA (U4 snRNA) is a component of the major U2-dependent spliceosome. The structure of U4 snRNA from yeast and human has been reported.
Source: RNAcentral